UUUCCGUAGGUGAACCUGCGGAAGGAUCAUUAACACGUAUCCACGUACCACUAGUAAACCACAUGUGCGAACAUGUAUUUUCCGCUCCUUGCUUGCGCGCUUGCCCCUUGUCGAAGGGAACACAGCACGCAGGCAGCGAGGGGAGGUCGCGGGAGCUCAGACCUUAAACAGCUUCACCCUGUCAUUUUUAACACCUCUUACAAAUGACUUGACUGAAACCCGAGAACGCGUCGGAAACGACCCGAUCUCUUCGUUCGGCCUAAACAACCGAAUCGAUAAACUCUUAACAACUCUUAGCAACGGAUAUCUUGGUUCUC
This 317-nucleotide unclassified non-coding RNA is filed under the name soil metagenome. RNAcentral's name for it is "partial contains small subunit ribosomal RNA, internal transcribed spacer 1, and 5.8S ribosomal RNA". The record is from RNAcentral.